GUACUGCUGAAGAGUCUCACAAGAGGAUGAAACGGUCGUCCAGUAC
Molecule: non-coding RNA, 46 nt
Organism: Schistosoma haematobium
Lineage: Eukaryota; Metazoa; Platyhelminthes; Trematoda; Strigeidida; Schistosomatidae
Source: Rfam